This 183-nucleotide ribosomal RNA is filed under the name Lodderomyces metapsilosis. Its description in RNAcentral is "Candida metapsilosis partial 28S ribosomal RNA". It matches the Rfam family "Eukaryotic large subunit ribosomal RNA", at positions 1 to 175 of the family's 3401-position model. The record is from RNAcentral. Lineage: Eukaryota; Fungi; Ascomycota; Pichiomycetes; Serinales; Debaryomycetaceae.
UUCGACCUCAAAUCAGGUAGGACUACCCGCUGAACUUAAGCAUAUCAAUAAGCGGAGGAAGCAGCAACCAUACAGGGAUUGCCUUAGUACGCGGCGAGUGAAGCUGGCAAAAGUCUCAAAUUUGAAAUCUGGCACUUUCAGUGUCGCGAGUUGUAAUAUUGAAGAAGGUAUCUUUGGGUCUGG